UACAGAGGUCCCAAGCGUUGUUCGGAUUCACUGGGCGUAAAGGGUGCGUAGGUGGUGAGGUAAGUCGGAUGUGAAAUCUCGGAGCUCAACUCCGAAAUGGCAUUGGAAACUACCUUGCUCGAGGGUUGGAGGGGGGACUGGAUACUUGGUGUAGCAGUGAAAUGCGUAGAUAUCAAGUGGAACACCAGUGGCGAAGGCGAGUCCCUGGACAACUCCUGACACUGAGGCACGAAAGCUAGGGGAGCAAACAGG
RNAcentral lists this ribosomal RNA (252 nucleotides) under uncultured bacterium. RNAcentral's name for it is "partial 16S ribosomal RNA". It matches the Rfam family "Bacterial small subunit ribosomal RNA", at positions 524 to 776 of the family's 1533-position model. The record is from RNAcentral.